UACCAACUCUGCCACCGGGCCAGCCUCAGAAUCUCUUGACUUUUAAAAAACAGUGGCCGCAUCUGUAGGAGAGCUCUCAUUGACCAGUUUGGUUUUGAGACCCUACACUAACCCUGAUUCCACACUCGGGUCCACUGAGUUAGGGCAUGUGGACCUGCCAGGCAGAGGGCAUGAAUCUCAGAGUGGGUUACUCCCAUUGCUCUUGGCGCAAGGCUGGCCCCAGGAAACACGACAGGGACGAGGUGACUUGGGUUGGCCUGAGUUGGCUGUGCUCAGGUGGAACACGACUGGAGCCUCCACACUUCUCCACCAGCCCCCAGCCUACUGGCCCUGAAGUGAAGUUGCCAGAGUUAGCAAAUAAAAAUAUAGGGUGCCCAGUUAAAUUUGAAUUUAAGGCAAAGAAUGAAUCAUUUUUUAGUAUAAGAAUGUCCCAUGCAAUAUUUGGGAUACACUAAUACUAAAAAAAUUAGUCACUGUUUAUGGGGGGAACCCUCCCCUCUAGGAGUCUGUUCCCAGAGAAGUCCCUGCCCAAGCCCAGUUGAAGGCUGUGCCCGGCCCAGGUUCUCUGUCAAGACUCCCACCUCAGCCUGAGGGACCAUUCAGGGUAGGGAGUGGGGCCGGGGAGACUCCUGACAGCAGCCCACAGCCCUGGCAGUCCAGAGCUCAAGCCGUUCCCAUCACUGCCUAUGUCUCAGACACACCCCCACCCCAUCUGUAAAAUGAGAGAACUGGUCCAGGGUGGAACUCGAAACCCACUCCUUGCUCAGUUAGAUUUAAUAAGUACUAUUUACCUUAGGAAAGAAGAAUCUUUAACCUCUGCUCGUCUGAAAGGACCUUUCCAAAGCCAGCCCUCCUGAGGCAGCAGCCUGGGCCCCCUCCUGGCUCAGCUCAGCCCUGGAGCGCCUCACUCAGCCGCAGCUCCCACCAGUCAAACCCACAAUGACACCUUUGGAAAGGACCCAACUACCAGGUACCCCAAAACACACACAACUGCAAAAGCAGAGGGUCACGCAGACGCAUUCGCUUAGGAAAGAAAGAGGCAGAUAAACCCAGACACACACAGAAGCCCUCACACGCACCGGACGGGAAAAGUGCCCACUUAGCAAACACCCAGCACACAUACCCCACCCAGAGCACGCACGACAUGCCACACACACACAGACUGAGCACAAAUCACACUCGUGCUUUCUCACACACUUGCUGAAGGUGACAGCCAAUAUCAACCGUGUCCCCAGCCAUCCCUCAUCUGGGUUCUCAGCCUGAACCCCAAAUGUCCAAGGUGUUUCUGGGGCUAAAGCUUCUCCCAACUGUGCCCUUCAAGCUGCUAAAAAAAAAAAAACCCUGAAGGUGUUCCCAAAGAACUUUGUUUUUCACAUCAGGCUAAAUCAAUAGAUUACCUGGAAGCUGUAUUCUGGAAAGAUGUUACCCCAAAUGGUAAAGGUGAUAAUGAGGACGAUGAAGAUGACAACCACAACUGCCAGCAUUUCUUGAGUGCCAGCCGUGCCCCCGGAACUGUGGUAAGGGCUUUCCAUACAUUACCUCAGUCAACCCUCCCAACAAGCCAUAAGGCAGGAACUGUUAUCAUGCCCGUUACAGACAAAGAAACUGAGGCUCAGAGGAGUUAAAUGAAUGCCUCGGGAGAGAUUCCAGCAUCUGUCCCCAGGGCUGUCUAACUCUAAAACACAGCCUCACCCACAAGGCCACGCGGAAAGGUUUGGCCCCUGGGUGAGGCAGGUCUGUGAGCUCUGGGUCCUCUUGCUAACCAGAGACCCAGGGACACUCCGGGACUAAGGGGGCUGGAAGGGCUGGCUUCCGCCCACCCUCCUGGUGGUCCCUGCACCAGGGAUGGGAGCCAGGCCCCUCACAAUGGAGGAGCUCCUCAUAAGAGGAGAGAUUUAUAUCUGCUCAGCUCCCGAGAGUCCCGGUCACCGAGCCCACCCAGGGAGGGCACAGAGGAGGACCCUAAAGAGGACCUAGAGAGGGCUGUCUCAGGGAAACCAGCCUCUGGGACAUUCUUAACCCCAACCAAAGGAGGGGGACACCCUUCUCAGCCUCCACCUCUGCACUGGGGCCUGGCUAACAGCUGUUCCCAGCUGGAGGCUCUCUAUGCCCCCCACCCAGGCAGUCCCCGGGGACAUGGAGGCAGCUUUGCUGAAGCCUAUCAAAGCAUUCUUGUUCUUACAGCUGUUUCCUGGGAGGGCAGUUGGAGCCACAAUAACCCCCACAUCUGUUUAAGGGGCUGGUGGCUGGUACUCCACCUUCAGCCCUUCGGGAGGGGUCCUGCCCAUCAGCAGAGGGGAAAAUGAGCACAUCCGAGAGACACGGUUUAGAACCUUUGACCUUUAGGACUGGAAGGGGCCACCCAUCCCCAUUUUACAGGUGACUUAACUGAGGCCAAGCCACCCCCUGCUCCCAAAGGGUUCCCCCACACAGAGCCCGUUUCCCCACAGACUCUCUGGGUAGGCCCUGGCUCCUCCUCUGCUGGCUCAGAUCGGCCUCCACUUAUACAAGACAUGACCAGCCCAGAAAGAGGUGUGAUGAGGCGCGUGGGAGUGUAAAGGCUGCAUGGACAGGAAGCCAGUGUUUACUCUGAGAUGCCUGCUCUGGCUCCUUCUCCUGCAUGAGCCACUGCCCCCUUCUUGGCCACUAUUUUAAUUCUCAAUCUGUGGGUUUAUUUAAAUCAGUGUUUCUCAGCCUCAACAUUGUUGACAUUUGGGCCUGGAUAUUUCUUUGUGGUGGAGGCUGUGCUGUGCAUUGUAGGGUGGCUAGCAGCAUCCCUGGUCUCUACCUACUAGAUGCCAGCAGCACCCACCUCCCAGUAGUGACAACCGAAAUUAACUCCAGACGUUGCCAAAUAUCCCCUGGAAGCAAAACUGUGCCCAGUUGAGAACCACUGAUUUAAGUUGACUUAAAGGAGCGUAUAUGGACUGUCCCCUGUGUCUCGCCCCGAGUACAGGGAAGGAGGUGAUAGGUAUUCCCUCCUGAGCCCUGGAGUUCCUAUGGGGCAGAAAUGAUAAUAAAUGUACCCAGGACAAAGCAGGGUGUGCCAGGAGAUCCUGCAGCAGGCGGAAGUCGGGGAAAUCAUUGAGGCUGGGAUCCAUCCAGGAAGGCUUCCUGAAGGAGGAGGAAUACAAUCUGGGCUUUAUAUAUGCAGUCCGGGAAGGAUGCAGAUUAAGGGGAAAAUCUCAAAGACAGUGAGCAGAGCCCAGGGUGGGGGGAUGAGUGUAGAAUUUCCAGGGAGGGGAGGCGGCCACAGGUGGCUGGAUUUUAAGCUGGAGUGUAUUAUGGCUGCCUUCCUCGAGGGCGGGUCCUGGAGCCCAGAGCAGGGAAGAUGUUGGGGAUGAAUGAGGAAAGGGUAGGUGGGGGGGACGGGGGAAUGCCAUAUCUCUGUUUCUGGGGUGCAAGCAGGGGCUUGUGUCUCUCUGAAUCCCCCGAACCCAACACAGAAUCAGGCUAAGGAAAUGCUGGAUGAUGAAGCUGCUGCUGAUGUGGAAGAAAGGUCUGAUGAGGAGGAAGGUGGGCAUGGGCUCCAGAGGGCUGGGAAGACCAUCCCGGAUGUCGAGGGUGCUGAUGAGGGGGCCCAGCCAGAGGGCGAGCAAGGGACCUGACCAGCCCUCACCCUGAUUUCUCAGGGUCUGCCCUCACCUGAGGUCUCCCUCACGGCCCACGUGGGAGGGGGUGGGAGGGGAGUGGGAGGGAGCGCUAAUGGAGGGGUCACUGCUGGGCUGGGAGCAGACCACAUGGCUUCCUCCCAGGCUGCAGACCUCUCUCUCUGAAGGAGACUUCAGCGGGUUUGCCGGAGGAGACAGGUGACCUUCUUGGCCUAGGAAGCUCCCUUCUCAGACAGAAGCACUGGUUCCCUACCCCCAGUCUGGGCUUCCUGAGCCAUGGGUGCACAUCUGCCCUCAGAUCCACCCUCAGAAUGGGCUCCCUGAGGGCAGGGCGACACCUUCCCAGUGGUCCCCUUAGGGAAACACAAAGUGUGGGGCUGGGGCUGCCCACAGGGAGCUUCUGGACUGACUCAUCAGCAGGGGGCGCUGUGGGCUCAGGCACGGGGCUUGGGCAGCUGGAAGGGUGGAGACUGGCCUGGCCUCCUUCACCUCCUGUCAAAAUAUAUCCUGUUACAUCUCCCACCCCAGCCAGGUUCAACUGCGUCCGACACAGCAGGGGCUCUACCUCCUCGCAACUUCCCAGCCUAACCCCAUUCUCCUCCCCUCCUCCGGAUGAGGAAGAAGGAGAAGGAAUUAUUAUACCCAUUUUGCAGAUGAGAAGACUGAGUCAUAUGGAUGCAGAAAAGACUGGAAGGAACAGCAGCAGGACAGAAUGGAUAGAGUCUUAGCUCUGGGGCCAGAAUACUCAGGCUUACUAGCAUGCCAGUUCAGCAUCUCGCUCCCUGUGUGGUGGGGGCAAACUUUGGGGCUUUGUUGAGUAAACCACUGCAGUUGCUGUAAGGGAGCUGAGCGUGGUGGCCCUCACUGCCCCAGGCUGGGAACAAUUCUGACACUGGGCAUCACAGCCCCUGUGGACAGCACUGGGUCCUGGGAGGAAGGGCUGGAAAGGGGGACAAGGCGGGCUUGCCCCAGCCCUUGUCUAGGCAGAGAAAGCAGACAGCCAGAAAGGGGAUUAACAGGGGGCUCUGAACAAGGGCAGAGGGGACAAAGGGGCUGGGCUGGAGAGCUGGGGGGAGGGGGCCCCAGGUGCCCGCUGUCCUGAGUUAUCUGCACUUUCUCCCAGGUCCUAGUAAUGAAUAACAGCAGUGGAAGCCAUGGGUGCCAUUCACUGCUCUCACGGUAUGUCCGGCUCUAUGCCAAGCAGGCAACUGGCUCAGUUACCCAUCCUGGGAAGCAGGCAAGGGUACCACCUCAUUUGAUAGACGAGAACAGGAAAGCUCAGAGAGAUAAAGUAACUCGUCUGAGUUCCCCAGCAGGAAAGGGGCAAAACGGAAUACCACCCAGGUCUGCCUGGCACGUACCCACCGCUCUCUUGGUGGAGUCAGGGUCGAGGCGGGUGCAGAGUGGCCGGGCAGAGCUCUGAUGGCUUUCUCUGGGGACAGAGGUGGAGGAGAACCAGCCCUGGCCCAGGUAUGCUAUCUGGCCCCAGGAUCGGCUCAUCAGCUUGCAGGUUCACGGGAGUGACCUCAGUGGUGGGGUGUUUUGGUUUCUCUGUUUGUUUGUUUUUUUCCUUUUUCCUUCUAAGAACAACUCAUUUUGGUCAAAUAACUAGAGUAAAAGUGACUGGUGUUGAGAAAUCUCCCCCUCCCCCUUCUCUGGCCCCAGGCAGUGACAUUUGAGGAACUGUCUCCUGGGGCCACAGAGGAUGCUGUUGACCCAGUUCAAAGGGUUGGCUCUUCUCCCUGCCCAGCCCCACCCACUUCCCCUCACCACCUCCCUCACCUGCCAAGCUUGGGCAGCCUCCCACCGGGGACUGAGGUCCCGCCCCAGCGGCCGAGCUGAGCCCCUCUCGGAGAGGGCAGAGCAGCACAGUGUGGGGAGAGAAGCUAAAUUCUCCCCUCUCAUCCCACCUGCGCAAAGAAGGAGACCGGGGUGAGGCUGAAAUUGAACUGCACAUGUCUCUAGUCACCUCUGUCACCACUCUACUGACCCCAUGGCACCUUCCGUGUGCCACUGACCACAGGUCAGCAUUGAGAAGGCUGACAAGGAUGUACCAGGCUGCAGGCUCCAGCGCAGAGAAGGAGAAGACGGAGGCGGUGGUGAUGUCAACCAAGGAAUUAAGUAAGCAGAGGAGCUGAUAACACUGCCCGACAAGCCCUGCUGUGGGCAAGGUGACUCAUCAGAGACGGGCCCCACAUCACAGGGUACCAGCGAUUGUUAACAGCAGCACUGUUGCUGCCCCUGGUUGAGCUGUCUAUGGAAACAACGCCACCGGAUGGCAGACUGCUGACCGCGACCACGUGGCGUCCUCGUGGAGGGUACAGCCUGUUCCUCCUGCAGCAGGCACCUGUAGAGCUGCCUCCACUCAGGCUCCCUCACUCUCUAGGACCCAGCUGAGGGGGCCAAAACUGUUGUGUUCUUCCCUAGCCCCAGGGGCGCCGCGUACUGUUGUCCAAGUUGAGAACUGUACAACUGGAGGGGGCACCAUUCACCGUCCAACGCAUGUGCCAGACCGCAUGGCUGUACCUGAUGGCCCCGCCCCUUCUCAUUUCUAAAUUACUUCUCACUCCCCUCCUCCGCCUAGAAUGAUCUAUUUAGCUUGCCCUUGAUAAGUUUGUCUUCACACCAAACUUUCCCCCAUAAACAUAAACUUCCUCCUCUACUGCCUGA
Non-coding RNA from Equus caballus (horse), 6281 nucleotides. The record is from RefSeq and is a predicted model, not a curated record. NCBI's taxonomy places the organism in Eukaryota, Metazoa, Chordata, Mammalia, Perissodactyla, Equidae.